GGCUGCGGAGGUCAUUACUGAGUGAGGGCCCUCUGGGUCCAACCUCCCACCCGUGUUUAUUAUACCUUGUUGCUUCGGCGGGCCCGCCGUAAGGCCGCCGGGGGGCUUCUGCUCCCGGGCCCGCGCCCGCCGAAGACAUCUCGAACUCUGUCUGAAGAUUGUAGUCUGAGUAUAAAUAUAAAUUAUUUAAAACUUUCAACAACGGAUCUCUUGGUUCCGGCAUCGAUGAAGAACGCAGCGAAAUGCGAUACGUAAUGUGAAUUGCAGAAUUCAGUGAAUCAUCGAGUCUUUGAACGCACAUUGCGCCCUCUGGUAUUCCGGAGGGCAUGCCUGUCCGAGCGUCAUUGCUGCCCUCAAGCACGGCUUGUGUGUUGGGCCCCGUCCUCCGAUCCCGGGGGACGGGCCCGAAAGGCAGCGGCGGCACCGCGUCCGGUCCUCGAGCGUAUGGGGCUUUGUCACCCGCUCUGUAGGCCCGGCCGGCGCUUGCCGAUCAACCAAAAAUUUUUUCCAGGUUGACCUCGGAUCAGGUAGGGAUACCCGCUGAACUUAAGCAUAUCAAAAAGCCAAAGAAA
RNAcentral lists this ribosomal RNA (572 nucleotides) under Penicillium sp. B38. RNAcentral describes it as "eukaryotic LSU rRNA". The stretch from base 191 to 344 matches the Rfam family "5.8S ribosomal RNA". The record is from RNAcentral. Lineage: Eukaryota; Fungi; Ascomycota; Eurotiomycetes; Eurotiales; Aspergillaceae.